Esox lucius (northern pike) is the source of this 723-nucleotide long non-coding RNA. Lineage: Eukaryota; Metazoa; Chordata; Actinopteri; Esociformes; Esocidae. The record is from Ensembl.
AUUUCUCUCAUUCAAUGGUAGCUCCAAUGUGGAACUAUUCAAAGAUGUCCUGUUUAUCAUUUCACAUUGUAUAAAAAUAAAUGAUCACAAAGUUCAACUUUUAUUUUAUGUAUUAUGAAUGCUAAUGUGGUUUUGUUGUGAUGACUGGUGUUGUAUGAGAGGCUUUUAUAUUGCAUAUCGCUGAUACACUGGGGUAUUAACAGCUGUUAUCAACUCAAACUAACCCUGAACAUCUGUCUGAAUCCCAGAUGGCACCCUUUUGACUCUCUAGAUCAUGAUAUUUCAUCAGAGCCUUGGUCAACAAGUGGAUUAUAUUGGGCAAUGUUUCCCAAUCCUGGUCCUGGGGACCCCAAGGUGCAGGUGUUUGUUUUUGCCCUAGCACUCACUCACCUGAUUCAGAUUAAAGACUUGAUGAUAGGAUAAUUAUGUCAAUCAGGUGUGUGAGUGGUAGGGUAACAUUUGAAUCAGGUGUGUGAGUGGUAGGGUAACAUGUGAAUCAGGUGUGUGAGUGGUAGGGUAACAUUUGAAUCAGGUGUGUGAGUGGUAGGGUAACAUUUGAAUCAGGUGUGUGAGUGGUAGGGUAACAUUUGAAUCAGGUGUGUGAGUGGUAGGGCAACAUUUGAAUCAGGUGUGUGAGUGGUAGAGUAACAUUUGAAUCAGGUGGGAAAAAACUCCUUGGGGACUCCAGGACUGGGACUGGUUAACAUUGAUGUAGGCUGUGAG